This 510-nucleotide ribosomal RNA is filed under the name uncultured bacterium. Its description in RNAcentral is "partial 16S ribosomal RNA". It matches the Rfam family "Bacterial small subunit ribosomal RNA", at positions 28 to 507 of the family's 1533-position model. The record is from RNAcentral.
GACGAACGCUGGCGGCGUGCUUAACACAUGCAAGUCGAACGAAGAGCGAUGGAAGCUUGCUUCUAUCAAUCUUAGUGGCGAACGGGUGAGUAACGCGUAAUCAACCUGCCCUUCAGAGGGGGACAACAGUUGGAAACGACUGCUAAUACCGCAUACGAUCUAAUCUCGGCAUCGAGGAAAGAUGAAAGGUGGCCUCUAUUUAUAAGCUAUCACUGAAGGAGGGGAUUGCGUCUGAUUAGCUAGUUGGAGGGGUAACGGCCCACCAAGGCGAUGAUCAGUAGCCGGUCUGAGAGGAUGAACGGCCACAUUGGGACUGAGACACGGCCCAGACUCCUACGGGAGGCAGCAGUGGGGAAUCUUCCGCAAUGGACGAAAGUCUGACGGAGCAACGCCGCGUGAGUGAUGACGGCCUUCGGGUUGUAAAGCUCUGUUAAUCGGGACGAAAGGCCUUCUUGCGAACAGUUAGAAGGAUUGACGGUACCGGAACAGAAAGCCACGGCUAACUACGUG